Molecule: ribosomal RNA, 497 nt
Filed under: uncultured bacterium
Lineage: Bacteria
Description: partial 16S ribosomal RNA
Rfam family: Bacterial small subunit ribosomal RNA
Source: RNAcentral
GAUGAACGCUGGCGGCGUGCCUAAUACAUGCAAGUCGAGCGAACAGACGAGGAGCUUGCUCCUCUGACGUUAGCGGCGGACGGGUGAGUAACACGUGGAUAACCUACCUAUAAGACUGGGAUAACUUCGGGAAACCGGAGCUAAUACCGGAUAAUAUAUUGAACCGCAUGGUUCAAUAGUGAAAGACGGUUUUGCUGUCACUUAUAGAUGGAUCCGCGCCGCAUUAGCUAGUUGGUAAGGUAACGGCUUACCAAGGCAACGAUGCGUAGCCGACCUGAGAGGGGGAACGGCGGCAGGGGAACUGAGACACGGUCCAGGGUCCGACGAGAGGCAGCAGUAGGGAAUCUGCGGCAAUGGGGGAAAGCCUGGCGGAGCAACGCGGCGUGAGUGGUGAAGGUCUUCGGAUCGUAAAACUGUGUUAUUAGGGAAGAACAAAUGUGUAAGUAACUAUGCACGGCUUGACGGUACCUAAUCAGAAAGCCACGGCUAACUACGUG